GGGGCCGGCCCCAGUAAUGAGACUUGAACAAGCACUUCACAAAAGGGGAUAUCCGAAUGGCCAAUAAAAUAUGAAAAUAUAUUCAACCACAUUUGUAAUCAUAAAAAUACAAAUUCAA
Ceratotherium simum simum (southern white rhinoceros) is the source of this 118-nucleotide non-coding RNA. The record is from RefSeq and is a predicted model, not a curated record. NCBI's taxonomy places the organism in Eukaryota, Metazoa, Chordata, Mammalia, Perissodactyla, Rhinocerotidae.